RNAcentral lists this long non-coding RNA (396 nucleotides) under Daucus carota (carrot). RNAcentral's name for it is "long non-coding RNA (DCAR_LNC006226)". The record is from RNAcentral. Lineage: Eukaryota; Viridiplantae; Streptophyta; Magnoliopsida; Apiales; Apiaceae.
UCGAAUAUGAGUUGAUCUUGCCUCCUCUAUGUUGUUAAGAUCUAUGUGAUCAGAUACCACAGAGCAAGGCCGCCUUAGGUCUUGAGCUCGACGGGGCAACGAUAGAAUAAGGUAUACAACGAGCCACUCUGUUGGUAAUGGCGCCUGAGGAGGUUUCCCAUGGGAUAUUGUGUUAUAAGAAAGCCCUGCAGGCAAAUGUGUCGAACAUGGUACACUAAUGUGUCGAGGUUCAUAAAUAUAAAGAUAAGAUGAAAUGCAUUUAUACAUGUUGAAUUACUUAUGUGUGUUAAAUUCUCUUCAGUUACUUUACUUACUGAGCGACGUAGCUUAUAGUUUUCUUGUGUUGUAGGUAAAGGUAAAGAUAUAAAGUAGAAGUGGGACCGAGCUGAAGCAGCA